RNAcentral lists this long non-coding RNA (13153 nucleotides) under Homo sapiens (human). RNAcentral describes it as "HSALNT0091308". Lineage: Eukaryota; Metazoa; Chordata; Mammalia; Primates; Hominidae. The record is from RNAcentral.
ACUUAAAGAGGACGGCAGAUCAAGAGCAUCUCAUCCUCCGGCUGCUGAGUCAUCCUGCUCUGGCAGUUAUUUAAACAGAAGGCUCCAGGAGACAUACAAUCAACACUCCACUCAGACAAUGCCCAGACCUCCAGAAACCAUGUGUCAAGCUCGGAUUGCCUUAGACAGGUGCAAUUUAAGAACAGCUUUCAUCCUCUUUUCUCUCAUAUUGUCACACUAUGUGUUCUGACUUCUGGCUCCUUUCCUCACAAGAAGCUCACCCAGCUGGAACUCUUAUGGGACCUUGGCACCAGAGACCACAAAUUCCUCUUUGAAGUUUUCUAACAGCAACAAUGGUAUUUCUGACUUGGCUUUCUUGUAUUUCUCUCACGUUAACAAAAUUGGUUCAGCAUCUACCAUGGGCUACAUGCUGAGCUACAGAGUUUCGCUCUGUCGCCCAGGCUGGAGUGCAGUGGCGCGCGAUCUCGGUUCACUGCAAGCUCCACCUCCCGGGUUCACGCCAUUCUCCUGCCUCAGCCUCCUGAGUAGCUGGGACUACAGGCGCCCGCCACCACACCCAGGUAAUUUUUUGCAUUUUUAGUAGAGACGGGGUUUCACCGUGUUAGCCAGGAUGGUCUCGUUCUCCUGACCUCAUGAUUCACCCGCCUUGGCCUUCCAAAAUGCUGGGAUUACAGGCGUGAGCCACUGUGCCCUGCCAAAGGCCUUUUCAAAUCUAACGAUGUACUCACAUUUCCACCUGUCUGCCAGCCCUUGUCCAGUUUGACCUGGGCACUCACUGCUGCUCUGGUGGUGAGUACUGCUGAUGGUUCUUUUCCCUGCCCAUCCUUGAGGUGCUCGCUUCAAUAUGUCAAAUGAGGACUCUCAUUACAUUUGGCUGUCAUACAUCAGCCACAACUGUCCUGCCCAGAAGAGCUGGCCUUGGCUUUAAAGCCUACAUCCUGGCUGACCUUCUUUACUGCUUUAUUAAGGAAUCCAACUUGCUGUUUGCUAUCACAUGUGCUAUACAUGCUGUUGAUGAAACUGCUAAAGGGGCUGAAUGUGACUGACGUCUUUGGAAGGAUGAGACUUAGCGUGCCUGUACAGUUGUGUCCAAAUGCUGUCCUCAUCUCCCAAUGAAAAGGUAUUGUAAAUAAAGAGAAAGAUCAGAGGCUUAUUUUAAACACUAAAUAUGAGCUAGGAGCUGUCCUAGACACUAUGUAAAAGUUUUAUUUAGUUCUCACUGUAAUGUUGGCCUUAUGUUAGCAUCCCAUUUUUCAGACUGAGGAAAUUAUGGCUCAGAGAGGUUAAGAGACUUAUUGAAGGUCACACAGCUCCACAAACUUUGGUGUAGAUUGAACGUGUACAUGGGUCUAUGUGACUUUGAAUCUUGCAUUCUUUACAUUAUUGGAAUAUUUCACAGAAGGAAAAUGACAUAUUAACAUGGCAAUAAGAUUUCUGGUUCCAGUCUGGUUACUGGUCUUCCAAGAGUGUUAUAGGAUGUAUAGCCUGAGCUCUGAAGCUUUGUUCUGAAGCAUGCUAUCAAUAUGAACAAAUUGGUAUGGAAGGAAGCCACAAAUUAUAUACUAAAAUCUAGUUCAUCAGAGGAAAAUAUAGUUAAAUACAUUUACAUUCCCAGAACUGUUAAUAUUGAAGAAUAAAACACACAGUGGGAAAGAGACGAAGAGAAAAUACGCCUGUUUUUAUGACUUGUUGAUAUCUACAGGGUUUUUCCUUAAGCCUCACAACAAUUUACAGCAUUGCCAGCAGCAUUCAGUACAUUCAGAACAGGAUAAUUUCACCCGCAGCUGAACUAGGGCCAUGCCUGGGACAGACAGAGAAUGGCCUUCCAGCAGACAUGCCAAGAAGCAAGCCAGGGUCAGUGAGUGAAGAGGAGGGCAGGCCCAUUUGAAGCAACACAGUUUAUGUAAGUGUGAUCUAACUGCUUUCACUGGAAAUGGGUCAGACUCCAGUUGAGAGAACCAGGGGCCUGAAUGACCCCAGCAAAAUCACUGUGGCAAUUCUUUCAAUCACCUCUGAGAAUAUGGCCCUGUGACGACAUAAUGACGUUUGGAUUAAUUCCAGUCGGCUGUGUUUUCCCCUCCUUUCUUGCCUCCCCGUAGUUGAUUUGCCAAAUUUUUUUUGUUUGCUUAAAUACGCGGAACUAAACAGGAUACAUUAUAUGACAGUCUGUGAUAAAUUUACCACUGGGAAUAGGGAAAAAGUAUGGGAUAAAGAAAUAGGUAUUUUUCGCCUCUCACAGCUGUGAUUCAGUUCUGACUCAAAAGGAAGUGUGCCACCUACUGAAUCACAGAAACCACUUCCUGUGGCUGUUUGGUUUAUUCUGGAGGAGCAUCAGGCCAAGUGCUGCCCUGCCCUGACCCUGACUGGCUCUUCAGAGCCAAGGCAUUCACAGCUUGAGGUGGUUUGGCCUCAGACUCUUGAGAACAUUGCAUAUUAAAUUACAAGUGUUUCGUUUCCUAGCAAGGAGUCUUUAGCAACAUGAAAACGAACGUGUGUUAUUUGCAAACCAAGUAUAUCAUUACUGAACCUGAAUAUCCUUACUUUUUCAUAAGGUACGUAUUCCGGAUGACCACUCUUAAGAUCUGAAUGUACACUGGUUCUGUUUUUCCUGAGGGGAACUUGGGCAGUCUGCAGGGUGGCAUUUACCAGCUGAGGGACUUCAAGAGCACCCUUUAAUCAGUGUGGCAGCACUCAACUUGUAUUCACUCACUCAGAGUAUUUUUGAGCAUGUACUUAUUGCCAUGUGCUGUGCUAGGUAGGGGUAGAGGGUACAGUGGUGAACAAGACCCCACAGCUCCUGACCUCAUGGCUCAUGUGUUCUACACCAUAAGGGAAUCAAGCUGUGUCUCCCGGGGCAGGGGCCUUCCUCUGUUCACCAUGCAGCCCCAGCAUCUAGCACCUGGCGUUGCAUAAAGGAGGCUCUAAAUCAAGCUUGUCCAACCCAAGGCCCACGGGCCACAUGUGGCCCAGGAUGGCUUUGAAUGCAGCCAAACACAAAUUUGUAAACUUUCUUAAAACAUUAUAAGAUUUGUGUGUAUGUGUUUUAGUCCAUCAGCUAUUGUUAGUGUUCAUGUAUUUUAUGUGUGGCCCAAGACAAUUCUUCUAUGUGGCCCAAGGAAACCAAAGAUUGAACACUCCUGCUCUAAAUACUUGUUUGUUGAAUAGAUACAUGAAAAGAAAGAAGGAGAGAAGGAAGAAAGGAGGGCGGAAGGAAAGGAAGAAGGGAGAGAAGAAGAGAAGAAAGAAGCAGAGAAAGGAAGAGAAAAGAAAUUACGGCCAGUGCGGUGGCUCACGCCUGUAAUCCUAGCACUUUGGGAGGCCUAAGCGGGCUGAUCACCUGAGGUCAGGAGUUCGUAAGCCAGCCUGGCCAACAUGGUGAAACCCUAUCUCUACUAAAAAUACAAAAAUCAGCAGGGCAUGGUGGUGCGUGCCUGUAAUCCCAGCUACCUGGGAGGCUGAGGUAGGAGAAUCGCUGGAACCCGAGAGGCGGAGGCUGCAGUGAGUUGAGAUCAUGUCACUGCACUCCAGGCUGGGCAACAGAGUGAGACUCUGUCUCAGAAAAAAAAAAAAAGAAAGAAAGAAAGAAAGAAAGUUACCAUUAGUUUUUUGUUGUAUUUGCAAGCAAAGACAAAAGCACCAAGGUACUUGUUUCCUUCUGUAAUUAGAGUUUCAAAUAGACUAAAAGUUUCUGCUCUUAGGUGGGUCUAGAGACUCUCCAGUACCUCAGGACCUCAGGACACAUGGGGUCUCUUGGUUGUUUUCUUUUCAUUGUUGUUGUUUAUUUUAUUUUUGUUUUUAUUUUUUAACUUUAAAACAAUUUUUUGUAGAUGAAUAUGCUUACAUAUGUUUGGGGGUUUUUUUGAGACAGGGUCUUGCUCUGUUGCCCAGGCUGGAGAGCGGUGGUUUAACCACAGCUCACUGCAGCCUCGACCUCCCAAGGUAGGGACUGCAGGUGUGUACACUGGGGUGCACCACCACACCCAGCUAAUUUUUAAAUUUUUUUUUGUAGAUAUUGUCUCACUCUGUUGGCCAGACUGGUCUUGAAAUCCUGGGCUCGAGCAAUUCUCCUGCCUCGGCCUCGUAACGCGUUAGGAUUACAAGCGUGAACACCGCACCUGGCCAGCAUGUGGUCUCUUAACCAGAGGAGGCCUCUUCUGAACUAGGUAGAGGUCCUGAGAAUUGAUUCUGAGAGUAAAAGGCUCUUUGUUCUCCUCAGAGUAGAUUAGAAUCCCUAAUGAUAGAGCAUCUAUUAUUCCUCUAGUGGUCCAUGCCCAACAGAUUCAUCCAAGAAUAGAUGAAGAUCUUUGUAAUGUUGUGCAAGUAAUCUAAUCACCCCACAGAAGAGCUGUGACUUAAAUUAUCCCAGAGUCGGCCCACCUGUUUUCAUAAAGAUCAAUGUAACUUGUAAAUUUCUUCAGUUCUCCUCACCUAUCAUCAUUUGACUAACAAAACCCAGAAAACUAGGCUAGUUAUGGUGGCCUAUGCAUAUAAUCCCAACUCUUUGAGAGGCCAGGGUGGGUGGAUUGCUUGAGUCCAGGAAUUCGAGACCAGCCUGGGCAACAAAGGGAGACCCUGCCUAUAUCCCAGCUAUGCAGGAGGCGAGGCCAGAGGAUUGCCUGAGCCUCAGAGGUUGAGGCUGUAGUGAGCCAUGAUUGCCCCACUACACUCCAGCCUGGAUGACAGAGUGAGACCCUGCCUUAAAAAUAAUAAUAAUAGUAAUAAUAUUUCAUAAAGAUACAGGAAACUAGAUUAUAAUUGACAUUUUCAAAGUGAAAUACUGUCUAGAAUGGUGCUUGGCCAACAGUAAGCUUUUUGUAAGUGGAAGUCAUUACUACUACUAUUUCUUUCAUUAUUAUUACCAUUACUACUUUUUUUUACAAAAAAAAAACCCUGGACAACACACUGAAACCAUUACUACUUCUACUACUAUAACUUAGGUUGCACCUGAUAGAGCCAGCAAUUUUUCCAAGGUAUGACAAUGGCCAUAUGUUUAAUGAUAUAAUUCUAUGGCUCAGUGUAUCUCAGCCUUUUUAAACCCUGCUCUUCUUUUGACAAUUGUAAAAAUCUUAAACUGACCUCCAGUUGAAAUCCUCUGUCAAGAAGAUAUUGUCGGCCAGGGGCGGUGGCUCACACCUGUAAUCCCAGCACUUUUGGAGGCCGAGGUGGGAGGAUCACUUGAGGUUAGGAGUUCAAGACCAGCCUGGCCAACAUAGUGAAACCCCAUCUCUACUAAAAAUACAAAAAUUAGGCAGGCAUGGUGGUGUGUGCCUGUAAUCCCAGCUACUCAGGAGGCUGAGGUAGGAGAAUUGCUUGAACCUGGCAGGGCAGAGGUUGCAGCAAGCCGAGAUCACGCCACUGCUCUCCAGCCUGGGUGAGACUGUCUCAAAAAAAAAAAAAAAAAAGAAAGAAAGUAAGAAAAAGAAGAAAUCCCAAUCUCUUCUUUUAUGUGGAUUCUUCCUCACUUGAAUAAUACUUUUCUUCCCCAGUAUUCUCCAUAUUAUCCCAGAGUCAGCCCCUCUGUUUUUGUAAAGAUCUACGUAACCUCCUCUAAGUUUCCCAGUUCUCCUCACCUAUCAUAUCAUUUGGCUCAACAAAGGGCAGGAAGCUAGAUUCUAAUUGAUAUUUUGAGGCCGGGAGCAGUGGCUCAUGCCUGUAAUCACAGCACUUUGGGAGGCUGAGGCGGGCAGAUCACUGGAGGUCAGGAGUUCGAGACCAGCCUGGCCAAUAUGGUGAAACCUCGUCUCUACUAAAAAUACAAAAAAUUAGCCAGGCUUGGUGGCUUGUACCUGUAAUCCCAGCUACUCAGGAGGCUGAGGCAGGAGAAUAGCUUAAACCUGGGAGGAAGAGGUUGCAGUGAGCCGAGAUUGCUCAAUUGCACCCCAGCCUGGGUGACAGAGCAAAACUCCAUCUCAAAAACAAACAAACGAACAAACCUGAUAUUUUCAAAAUUGAGGCAAUUAUAACAGCUAUUUAGCCAAGCAUUAUGAUAGCAAUAAUAGCAAGAAAAUAAAUUAGUUAACAAAUGAGUCUCAGAAGCCCAAUGAUUUUUAUUUUAUUUUUAUUUUUUGAACUUUUAUUUUAGAAUCAGGGGAUACAUGUGCAGGUUUGUUACCCGGGUAUAUUGCAUGAUGCUGAGUUUUGGAGUAUGCAUGAAUCCAACCUGUCAUCCAGGUAGUGAGUAUAGUACCCAACAGAUAGUUUUUUUAACAUUUACUUCACUCCCUUCCCCAAUCUUGUAUUCCCCUGUGUCUACUGUUCCCAUUUUUAUGACUGUGCCAACAAUAAUUUUUUUUCUUUUUUCUUUAAAUAGAGAUGGGGGUCUCUAUUUAAAGAGCCUCCCAAAGUGCUAGGAUUACAGGUGUGAUCCAUUGCACCUGGCCCAUGCCAACAAUAUUUGAAACCCUUAUCUGCGUGUACAAGUUUGCUACUGGUUUUGUUUUGCUCAUUAAUACAUCCCAAGCAUCUAUACCUGGCUUGUAGUACCAGCAUGUAGUAGGUGCUUAAUAAAUAUUUAUUGAAUAAAUAAAUUAGUUUGACAUUAGUUUAACAUCUCAAGUAAAACAAAAUACCAUUCAAUUAAUUCUCUUCUUCUACUUUUUUCUUUUAAGAGAGACAAAUAGUCACACAUACAUCAGCAGGAGAGGAUACAAUUUCCUGUGUUUAAGUUUUUAUGAGUUACUUUAGUUCAAAUGUCACAGAAAAUUAUAUUGAACUCUUGACCAAUCUAUCUAUUUUUUCCAUUGGAGUAUUGACCCAAAUAAGAAAUAGCAUAAAGGAAAAAUUAUUUUUUGGCAGAAAAAUAUUCUCUCUAAAUUCUUGUGUGUUUUGUUUUGAUUUUUUCCUUAGUGACUGGAGGCCAGUUUCAAUCCACUGAAGCACAGAUUCCAAAUUUUCAAUCUGGUUUUCUUGAGUAGUGACUGAGUGCCAAAAAUGAAGCAAUGACACAACAUCACCAUCAAGACACUCCCCAGCACGCACACACAUGCCAGAGUCCAACACCAAGAUACUCCCCAGCACGCACACACACGCCAGAGUCCAGGCCAUAUUCGGGUGGCUUGCAAGCUUCUUCCCCCCAAGUAUUUACUCUCAAAAUAAUGGUUUUUGUUUUGUUUUGGUUUGGUUUGGUUUGUUUUUUUCCAAAUACAUUUCUUCCCUAUAUCUUUAACCAAUUCUCAUAAAAUUUUGUCUAAUACACUGGUCAGUGUAUUCCAGACCCUAAAAGAUAACAUAAUGAAACUAUCUAUGACUAAAAGGUAAUCAGGAUCUUCUACUUAUCCUUUUUUCCUCCCUCUUAAACUUUAAUUUUGAUACAUUUGGGAGUGAAAUGAUGACAAUAAAUGCAAAGUAAUUAUUGAAGAAACAGUAAUUUUGUAUUAGCUUACUGAAAAAAAAAAAAAAGAUAACCAAAUAUAUUUUGGCAGCCCCAAACGAGUCACAUGUGAAAUGCAGUGGGAGAGCAGUGUCCUGAAGGAAAAGGUGGCCUGCUGGACAGCCAAGAGAACAAACAUCCACUGCAAGUAAUAUGAGCUCUAAGUUUGGACUAGGCCUAUGUCUGCUCUGAGACUUGGGGCAAUUCACUUAAUCAGAGCCUUAAUCAGCUACGGACUAGCAAUAUCCAUACCCGCUACUUAUUUUGUAAAUCUCCUUUCUAAAGUUAACUCUAUUUAUUGUUCCAUAAUCCCAUAAAUUCUAGAAUCUUUUCCUGUUAUAGCCAAGUUGUCUAUCAUUGACAGAGAUAUUCACCUGGUUGUUUUGGCUUCUCUAAUCCUCCUGGUGAGAACACCUCCAAGGGAGCUUUCAGUGGCAUUUAAGGUCACUUGUGCUCUUGGUCCUAGAAACUGCCUUGAUAGUGGUUUUAGCUCACAUGAGGUAAGUCUUUAUUAUAUGCCCAACCUCUUUAUGCAUUACUUCAUUUAAUUGUAUACUAAUCCUUUGUCAUAGGUUAUCAGAGUGUUUGAUUAUAAGUUACAGGAAGAAAAAAAAAAACAAACUCCAAUUGACUAAAACAAUGGGGCAUUUUUUGACUCACAUAACAGAGAGUCUAGAGAGAAGGCACCUUCAGGUUUGGCUGAUGAAUCCUGUAUCUCUGCCUUGUCUCCAGGCCCCCAGGUUCUGCCUCUGUCCUGACAUCCAGUGUUGGAUUCCUCUUCACAUCAACUCCUCUCUGUAGGUUGGGCCAUCAGACCCUACCUCCUUAUUUAUGUUGAGCAAAGGAGAGAGAAUGCCUCUACAAACAAUGAAAAAAGUGAAAAAAAAAAUCUUUCUCCUCCUUAUAACUUUAGUUAGCUUAACUUUAGUCAGUUGCUUAGCUACUAAACAGUAGCUAUUGGGAGGUGGGAAGGAAUACUAUUGUGUAAUCAACUAAGGCUCAUACAGAGGAUUAGGGUUAUCUGAAUUGAUUUGAAUUAAUUAGAAUUUACUCUCAGAGCUGUGGCAAUUCCUUGAACCACACUGAUUGCUAUAAAGUGGAAGAGGAAUAGAUUGAAUUUUGGGGAGUCAACUACAAUGUGUACUACAGGUAAAUACUAUGAAUUUCCAAUUCACAGAUGAGAAAACUGAGGCAUGUGGUGGGAGGGAGGUUAUGUAAUUUGCCCAGUGUCACAGUUGAACCUAGGCAAAGGCCUAUCUCCAGGUCUAAACAAUUCAGUGGCCUCCUGUGUACAUUUCUGUCUCUCCUUUUUUAUCCACUGUGUCACCGAGGCUGGAUUGCAGUGGCUCGAUCAUGGAGAUCAUGGCUUUCUGUAGCCUUGAACUCCUGGGCUCAAGUGAUCCUCCUGCCUCAGCUUCCUGAGUGGCUGGGACUACAGGCUUGACAACACACCCGGCUAUCCCGUGUAUAUUUCUUGAGGGCUUAUGAUAUAUAAGAGAAACUCCAAAAUAAGAGGACGGUGUGCUAAGGGGAAGACCAAAGCACUAUCAAGAGGUAGAUUCAAUCGUACCCCUUCUAUUUACUAGUUGUGUGACUCUUUUGAAAAUGAGAAUAAUAGGCCAGGCUCGGUGGCUCCUGCCUGUAAUCCCAGCACUUUGGGAGGCUGAGGCAGGUAGAUCACCUGAGGUUAGAAGUUCAAGACCAGCCUAGCCAACAUGGCAAAACCCCAUCUCUAUUAAAAAUACAAAAAUUAGCCGGGAAUGGCAGCAUGUGCCUGUAGUUCCGGCUACUCAGGAGGCUGAGGCAGGAGAAUCACUUGAACCCAGGAGGCAGAGGUUGCAGUGAGCCGAGAUUGCGCUACUGCACUUCAGCCUGGGUGACAGCGAGACUCCAUCUCAAAAAAAAAAAAAAAGGAAGAAAAGAAAAGAAAAUGGGAAUAAUAAAACUUACUUACUGGAGCAGUAGCAAAGAUUAAAAUUUAGACCAUGCAGAAGAAUGUUUUUCAAAAUGACAUGACCUGGUAAUAGGAUAGAAAUGCAAAUUCCUGUUACUGCACCAGACCCACCAAAUAAGAAACUCUGGGGAUGGGACCCAGGACUAAGUACUUUAAUAAGCACUCCAGGUGAUUCUAAUGAUUGUUAAAGUUUGAGAACCACUGGUCUAACACAUUGCCUGGUACAUAAGCUCUUAUUUUGUUGUUAUUGUUCUAAGGACAAUGUGUGUAUUGACUUCUAUUUCCAGGAGUUCAUGACUUGGAGAACUAGGGAAAGGAAGACAAAAAUUCUUUAAUGCAGAACGAUACUGAUUGAUAAAUACCUGAAUAUAAUACAGGUUAAAUGUGCUUUGAAGAUUUAUAAAAGGUUGAAUUUAUUUCCAGCAAGAUGACUCUCAGAAGCCUUUAUAGAUUAGAGAAGAAAUGGAAAGGGGUAAAAAUAAUUAGGAACUAUAAAGCAGGGCAGACAAGUUUUCAAUGGUUACUGCCAAUGUGUAUACAGAAAGUUAGCUUGGCCAGGCAAAGUGGCUCAUGCUUGUAAUAUCAGCACUUUGGGAGGCCAAGGCGGGCAGGUCACCUGAGAUCAGGAGUUUGAGACCAGCCUGACCAACAUGGUGAAACUCUAUCUCUACUAAAAAUACACAAUUAGCCCAGCAUGGUAGAGCAUGCCUGUAAUCCCAGCUACUCAGGAGGCUGAGGCAGGAGAAUCGCUUGUACUUGGGAGGCAAAGGCUGCAGUGAGCUGAGAUCGUGCCAUUGCACUCCAUCCUGGGAAACAAGGGUGAAACUCCGUCUCCAGAAAAAAAAAAGUUACCUUGAAAUAUAUCAAUACAAACAAAUAAAUUAGAUAUUUCAUAUUGUACAGGAACAAAACCCAUCAGAAGAUGUCAGAAGAUAAGGAUUUUUGUCCUGAUGCUACACUUACCAGCUGUCCCUCAGUGUUCUACUUCUUAAAAAAAGAGAGGUUGGUCCUGAUCCCUGGUUCUUAACCAGGGGAAAAUGAAGUGGGGCCAGGGCAUGUGCAGACUUAAAAAUUACACAGGGGAAUGUAGGCACGAUCUGUUUAAGAAAUACUGGACUAAAUGGUCUCUAAUCUGUGAUUGUAGAUUAAAGAAUAAUCUACAAUCUACACCGUGUUGGCCAGGCACGGUGGCUCACACCUGUAAUUCCAGCACUUUGGGAGGCUGAGGUGUGUGGAUCACAUGAGGUCAGGAGUUCGAGACCAGCCUCACCAAUGUGGCAAAACCCCCUCUCUACUAAAAAUACGGAAAAUUAGCUGGGUGUGGUGGUGCAUGUCUGUAGUCCCAGCUACUCGGGAGGCUAAGGCAUGAGAAUUGCUUGAACCUGGGAGGUGGAGGUUGCAGUGAGCCAAAAUCACGCCACUGCACUCCAGCCUGGGUGACAGAGUGAGACUCUGUCUCAAAAAAAAAGAAAAAAUAAAUAAUCAAAUGUAAAGUUAGCACAUAAAGGAGGCAUGUACAUAUUAUUAAAAUCUAUAUGACUACCUCUCCUUUUUCAUUUUUGGCUCAAUAUCUGUAUCUGAACACCUAAUUAAUGAAAGGAAAACAUUUGUAAUAUGUAGCAACUAAAAUGUCACCUUCUCUGUGGGGAUCACAAAGUCCUUGGCAAUCACUUCCAUACCAGACAAGUGAGUAUUGUCCUUCUCCUUUUCCAGAUGGAUAAACAGAGGCAACCCGAGGAUAAAGGCCUUGCUCAGUGUCACACAUUUCAGUCACUAAAUAAGACACAAUGGAUGCCAGUAUUCUCAUCCCCUCACAAAUAAAGAGCCUUCAAGCUCUUGCAGUCAACAAGAACUUUUGGAAUGAUUUCACUGCCUGAAAAGGCAGAUACAUAGGUGACACCCACAAAUAGGAAGAAAAUCAACCUGAACCUGAGUGUGUGGGCUCACUGACUCUAAGCAGUAGAGACAGAAGAAAAAGUUUUAGCAAAGAAGGGUUCUGAAAGAAAAUAAAUAUAGCUCGUUAUCAAGUGCUGUUUUUACACAGUAAAACAUGGGCAAAAUUACUCUUCUUUAAGUAGUAAUUCUUAUCUCUUGAUUAAGUCACCUACUCAUUCAUUUAAUAAAUACAUACUGAUUGUUUUCUAUGUGUUGAGCACUCAUCUCUGUAUUGGAAAUAUAAUAAUGACCAAAGUUGACAAUAGUAAUAACAAUAAUAGCUAAUAUAGCAGGCACUAAUAAUUAUUUGUUGAGUAAUAUGUCAAAAUUCAGUGUGAACAGCAUUCUAUUUGGGGCUGCAUCCACUGACUAUAACACAGCUAAUCUAUCUGAAAUGUUCCAGCUUUGGGCCUCUCUAACAGAAGAAGCUGUUGUUGGGCCUGCCUCUAGUUGGCGAUGCAUCCACCAAUGAGAAUGAAUUUAUGAUCGACCACUCUUCCUGUAAAGGCCGCUGGAACUGACAGCAUUGUGAUUUUCUUUUACUGUUAGUUUUAAAUUACUAGAACCAACUCAAUUACUAGAACGAACUUUACUUCUUUGUUUCCUACUUAUCAAAACAGUAAAAACAACAAGUAAAAGAAAUGCCAUCUUAAUAUUGUUUUGAUGACAAAACAGUAUUCCUUUUAGUUGUGCUUCAAAUGGAAUAAGAUGCAAACAGGCUUGGUAUGGUGGCUCACCCCUGUAAUCCCAGCCCUUUGGGAGGCCAAGGUGGAAGGAUUGCUUGAGGCCAUGAGUUUGAGACCAGCCUGCGCAACAUAGCAAGACCGUGUCUCUACAAAAAAUAAAAAAUUAGCUGAGUGUAGUGGUGUGUGCUUGUGGUCCCAGCUACUUUUGAGGCUGAGGAGGGAGAAUCUCUUGAGCCCAGAAGGUCGAAGUUGCAGUGAGCCGUGAUCGUGCCAUUGCUCUCCAGCUUGGACAACAAAGCAAGACCCUAUGUCAAAAAAUAAAUAAAUAAAAGACAUAAACAUAUCUGAGAUUAACUUUCAGUGGUAAAUUUGUUCCAUAUAUGAUUUUUAAGGUUAAAUGCUUUGGAAGCUUUAAAAACCAUUUCAGCCCUUUUAAAUGCCAACUUACACUGAUGAUGCUCUCAGAUGUUAGGAAAUCUUUUGAGCAGAAAAUGGAAGUGGGGGUGUUGAGGCAGGGAGGAGAGUGAUGCAAUAUUCCUUAGUGUCAUCCUGUGAUUUCACAAUUUGUUUUUCAAUCUGUUUGGACUUUCAAAAGGGAAGACUCUCAUAUGUCAACAAGCCCAUGAACUGAAGCUUAAAACACUGGAAACAACAACUGUAGAGUUUCAAGUAUAUGUACAUUUAUGUAUUCAUGUUCCUUGAUGGGAAUGCUGGCUGGUGUGAAUGUUCAAUCUCCUGAGAAAUGUAAAUUUUUCUCUGACAGAUUUAUUAGCUUGCUGUAUCUGAGCACAUGAGCAAAAACAAUGCCUAAUAAGAAAACUUUCUCUCUCCUUCAAAGUCAAACUUGGGAGAAAUGAAGGGAAAUCGAGUUUUCUUUGCUUGACAGUGUUCAACAUUCUUGUAGUCAGUGUGCUCAUGAAGAUUGCAAACUUUUUUUUUUUUUUAGAGCAGCUAGGACUACAGGCGCGCACCACCACACCCAGCUAAUUUGUGUAUUUUUAGUAGAGAUGGGGUUUUAACUAUGUUGGCCAAGCUUGUCUCAAACUCCUGACCUCAAGUGAUCCAUUCGACAGCUCUUUCUUUUUUUUUUUUUUUUUUGAGACAAAGUCUCGCUCUGUCACCCAGGCUGGAGUGCAGUGGUAUGAUCUCAGCUCACUGCAACCUCCGCCUCCUGGGUUCAAGCAAUUCUCAUGCCUUAGCCUCCCGAAU